AAUUUUUUCAUAUCUGCAUAGAGUUAAUGUCAAAAUCAAAGUUAUUUUGGUUAAUUUUUUUACCUUUAGCUUUGUCACCAUCUGCUAUGGUUGUCCAAUCAACUCAGCCUUCCACUGUUCCAUCUACAUCUGAAACAGUUGUUUCAUCAACAUCUACCACAUUUAGAAAGUUUAAAAGCUAUUUCUUUGUUCACUUUGUAUGUAAUAUGUGUAUGUAAGGCCAAUUUCUAAUACUUUUUUACUUGGUUACACCUUUUUUUAAUCUAUAUCUGCCACAGUUACUAAGUUUAAAAGCUAUUACUUUUUAAUCUCUGUUAUAAUUUAAUGCCUUAAUC
This is a long non-coding RNA of Hydra vulgaris (swiftwater hydra), 335 nucleotides long. RefSeq lists it as uncharacterized. The record is from RefSeq and is a predicted model, not a curated record. NCBI's taxonomy places the organism in Eukaryota, Metazoa, Cnidaria, Hydrozoa, Anthoathecata, Hydridae.